RNAcentral lists this long non-coding RNA (1192 nucleotides) under Gadus morhua (Atlantic cod). RNAcentral describes it as "lncRNA (ENSGMOG00000035087.1)". Lineage: Eukaryota; Metazoa; Chordata; Actinopteri; Gadiformes; Gadidae. The record is from RNAcentral.
GACAUUUUAAUACAGCAUACAAUUAUGCUCUCCAUAUUCUUAUGUGUCAGGUAGCGUAUUUCAUCUGUAAACCAACUGCCUCUAUCAAACGAUGCUCCCACUACAGAAUCACGUUAUUGUACACCACUAACCCCAUGUACACUGUAAGAAUAUGGGGAUGAUAAUUUGAUACUGUAUUAUUAUAACGUCUUUAUUGGAGAUUUCAGGGGUACUGUAUGUGUAUUUUACACCAAUACCACAACGCGGAAUCAUGCGCAUGCGCAGAACAGACCAGGAAGCACAAUAUGAUUGAAGAAAUUGGCAGAACACCCUGCUUGACGGAGUAAAAGAAGACAUGGCGAGGAACGGAAAGCUACGGGACCGAACUGAAGACGCUGGGAUCCACCAUUUAAGAGACAUCCGGAAUCAACAGGACAUCUUCACAACCCUGACUCGGCAGCGACAGUUGAGCCAGCCUCUCUGCAGCUUAAGGACAACUUCAGCUUGAUCGAAAACUGGGGGGCAAUUCGUAUAAUAAUAGGAUAAAAACACCAGAUUUGGUGUUUUAAGGUUUAUUAGUCUGAGGUUUAAUUAAUGUAUCAAAGCAACACAGCACUCGUGAUCGUGGGGUGGCUAUCUGGGCCACUCGACAUCAGAACCUCGAGUUUGCAGCCUCAACAAAACACCCGUGAUUAUAUCAUUGCCCAACCCCACUCUCACUCACACAAUUUCAAAUUGCAUUGAUGACCUUAUUUCAGCCUUGGUUACCGAAUACCAAGAUUAAACUCAGGUUGAUUGUCAGUUCAGUCUUAUCCUGUGGGUCAGGCACUGCUGUUAUUUUCUUGUAACUUAAAAUUGCUCUAGACAGCAUUAAUAUUAGUUUGGAUUGGAUUCUGAUUAGCAGUCACUGCUUUAGCUAUACUCUCCACCUCAGCCUCUCCACGGCCUUUAUGCCCCGUCCUGGUUGACCAAUGUAAACCUUCAAUGUGGUUUGUUCACUUGAAUCCGUGAAACGCAUGAAUUUUACUUCAAAUGUUUUGUUAAUAGAAAGAAUUGUCGUGAUUUGGUCCCUGUAUAUGAAUUUGAAAUAAAUGAUUCAUCAAUUCAGUAUCUGAAUAUAUUUCAUUUCUAUUUUUCAACAGGGUCAGAGUUUGUGGAAAUGAGAAUUGUUAUGUAGUUCUGGAUGGUCAACAUAGUUGAGCACAAAUAUUUG